GCUAUGUGAUGAUACUCCCGAUGACUGAACGCUCCAUAGUUGGUCCAUGGAGUGUGUAUGAUGGAGUGCACUGUUUCAAGACGGGACUGAUGGCAGC
Egretta garzetta (little egret) is the source of this 97-nucleotide non-coding RNA. The record is from Rfam. NCBI's taxonomy places the organism in Eukaryota, Metazoa, Chordata, Aves, Pelecaniformes, Ardeidae.